CCAGCAGAACGACAAGCUCCCACAAGAAAACGUUUUCCAACCAAAAAAACAAAAUCCAACGAAGAUUAUUGGAAAUUUAAUAACGUACAUUUUGGGAUUCUAAAGGAAUACGGUGCAAUAUUCUCCGAGAAUAUUAUACGGAGUUUUUCCUACUAUAGGGUCAGACAGACAGACGGGUAGACCUCCUCACUAGGUGUUGCCCGAGAUCAGCUUUAUCGGUAAGCUCCCCUUCUUUCGGAGUUACCGGGGCUAGCAGUGUGGUGUGUAUCUUGUGUAUAUAUGUAGAUAGGUUAUGGGUAGGUCGGGGCCCUGUUCCGAUCAUAGUACAUUUAUUAUUAGAGGCUUGUAGAUAUGUCCUGUCAGUUAACACAGUAUGUUGGACUGGUAGGUCCUGUACGUAUAUUUUGUUGGCUUGUCAGGUCUAGUAAAUAUGACGGCCUUGCCGGCCCAGCCUUAUGUUGA
Long non-coding RNA from Nicotiana tabacum (common tobacco), 462 nucleotides. RefSeq lists it as uncharacterized. Lineage: Eukaryota; Viridiplantae; Streptophyta; Magnoliopsida; Solanales; Solanaceae. The record is from RefSeq and is a predicted model, not a curated record.